Lucilia cuprina (Australian sheep blowfly) is the source of this 46-nucleotide non-coding RNA. The record is from Rfam. Lineage: Eukaryota; Metazoa; Arthropoda; Insecta; Diptera; Calliphoridae.
AAAAAGUCUUUUUUCAAAGACAUCCAAUUUAGAUAUUAAAUAUCUA